GAUUAACGCUGGCGGCGUGCAUGAAACAUGCAAGUCGAGCGCGAUGCGAGCUUGCUCGCAUCUAGCGGCGCACGGGUGAGUAACACGUGAGCAACCUACCUCGGAGCCCCGGGAUAGCCCUCGAGAAAUACAGGAUUAAUACCGGAUGAUGUCGCCGUGGGGCGAUCCCACUGGCGAAGAAAGGACUUCGGCCACUCCAAGACGGGCUCGCGGCCUAUAGCUUGUUGGUGGGGGUAAUGGCCUACCAAGGCGAAGAUGGGUAGCUGGUCUGAGAGGACGAUCAGCCACACUGGGACUGAGACACGGCCCAGACUCCUACGGGAGGCAGCAGUUAGGAAUUUUCCGCAAUGGGCGCAAGCCUGACGGAGCAACGCCGCGUGGGUGAUGAAGGCCUUC
Molecule: ribosomal RNA, 396 nt
Filed under: uncultured bacterium
Lineage: Bacteria
Description: partial 16S ribosomal RNA
Rfam family: Bacterial small subunit ribosomal RNA
Source: RNAcentral